RNAcentral lists this ribosomal RNA (375 nucleotides) under uncultured organism. Its description in RNAcentral is "partial 16S ribosomal RNA". It matches the Rfam family "Bacterial small subunit ribosomal RNA", at positions 527 to 896 of the family's 1533-position model. The record is from RNAcentral.
GGAGGGCGCGAGCGUUGUUCGGAAUCACUGGGCGUAAAGCGCGUGUAGGCGGUCGGGACAGUCGGAUGUGAAAUCCCGAGGCUCAACCUCGGAACUGCAUUCGAAACUACCUGGCUAGAGUCCCGGAGAGGGUGGCGGAAUUCCCGGUGUAGGGGUGAAAUCCGUAGAUAUCGGGAGGAACACCAGUGGCGAAGGCGGCCACCUGGACGGUGACUGACGCUGAGACGCGAAAGCGUGGGGAGCAAACAGGAUUAGAUACCCUGGGUAGUCCACGCCGUAAACGGUGAGUGCUAGACGUCGCGGGUAUUGACCCCCCCCGCGGUGUCGCAGCUAACGCGUUAAGCACUCCGCCUGGGGAGUACGGCCGCAAGGCUA